UGCCAGCAUCCUCGGUAAUACAUAGGGGUCAAGCUUGAUCCGGAAUCAUUGGGUUUAAAGGGUCCGUAGGCGGUCUGGUAAGUCAGAGGUGAAAUCCUGCAGCUCAACUGUAGCAUUGCCUUUGAUACUGCCAGACUUGAGUUAUUGUGAAGUAAUUAGAAUGUGUAGUGUAGCGGUGAAAUGCAUAGAUAUUACACAGAAUACCGAUUGCGAAAGCAGAUUACUAACAAUAUACUGACGCUGAGGGACGAAAGCGUGGGUAGCGAACAGGAUUAGAUA
Molecule: ribosomal RNA, 279 nt
Filed under: uncultured bacterium
Lineage: Bacteria
Description: partial 16S ribosomal RNA
Rfam family: Bacterial small subunit ribosomal RNA
Source: RNAcentral